CUGUGGAUAUAGCUCAGUGGGAGAGCACUUGCUCAGUAUGUGUGAAACCCUGGGUUCAAUUCCCAGUAGGAGA
RNAcentral lists this transfer RNA (73 nucleotides) under Marmota monax (woodchuck). RNAcentral describes it as "tRNA.Thr". The stretch from base 8 to 68 matches the Rfam family "tRNA", at positions 6 to 65 of the family's 71-position model. Rfam says of the family: Transfer RNA (tRNA) molecules are approximately 80 nucleotides in length. Their secondary structure includes four short double-helical elements and three loops (D, anti-codon, and T loops). Lineage: Eukaryota; Metazoa; Chordata; Mammalia; Rodentia; Sciuridae. The record is from RNAcentral.